Ahaetulla prasina is the source of this 3983-nucleotide RNA transcript. It is a transcript of the gene named MUS81 structure-specific endonuclease subunit, with no coding region annotated. NCBI's taxonomy places the organism in Eukaryota, Metazoa, Chordata, Lepidosauria, Squamata, Colubridae. The record is from RefSeq and is a predicted model, not a curated record. The transcript is spliced from 15 exons.
UUCUCUUAAUUCCUACAAAUCUUGCCCAUCGUAAAUAUUGUACAUCCUUCUAGGCUAGUAUUUUUUAACCUUGGCAACUUUUAAGGACUUCAACUCCCAGAAUUCCCCAGCCAACAUGGCUUAAAAGUGUGAACUGACUCCCAGAAUUCCCACGCUGCCUUGGGAAUUGCAGGAGUCAAAAAUCCAUUAAUCUUAAAAAGUUGCAGAGGUUUGAGAAGCACUGAUGGAAAAGCCUGAAAUAAUUACCAAGUCUGUUUCCCAGAAUGCCCUGCCGCAACAUGAUUUUGCUGGCUUGGGAAUUCUAAGAAUUGAAGUCUAUAUCACAUCCUAAAGAUUGAAAAACACUGAUUUAAAAUAUUCCAGGUAAGACUGGAGAGGACAAUUAAAGAGGGGUUUGUGAUGCUUUUAUUGUACAGUUUGCUCUAUAUACAGAGUAAGAUGGGCCAAGCACAGUAAAAUACUGAAUUUUGUAGUAUAUUCUCUGCAAAGAGCAAUUUGUUGAAAUCAGCAAGGACCUCUCUAUAUUUCUAUCUCUAUGGCUUCCUCCGAGAGAGGCACCACGGAAGAACUGCGCCUGCGCCGCUGCUUCAGCAGGACAGCCGCUCUGCCCGCUUGCAACUCUUUGAUGCAAAAAAACUCGAUGAUUUCCCGUUUUUAAAAGAACGAGAGCGCGAAAAGAAAAGAAACCGAAGGGGGGAAAAAAGCCGCCGGCGGCCUUCGAAAAAUGCCGAAACCGCCGCAGGAAGGCCCGAAUCCUUUAAUUACGCGAUGGUUGGAGGAAUGGCGCGACCAGGCCGCGGAAAACGGACGCCUCAAGAGCCAACGCGCCUAUGAACGCGCCCUGAGCUCCCUCCGCAAGUAUCCCCUUCCUCUGCACAGUGGCCACGAGGCUCGGAUCCUUAUGUAUUUCGGGGAGAAGAUCUGCCGUCAGCUGGAUGAAGAGCUGGAGAGACACCGCAGCAGCCAGGAUGGUACAGCAUCAGCCGAUAUGGAAGGAGAGAGGCCUGUGAACCAUACAGGUGGGCCAAUCCCAACAUCUUGCAAAAGUUGUGAAGACGUUGACGAGCCAACUGACAGCGAUAGGCCGAUGCUACAACCUGCCCUGUCGUCUCUAGAGCCAGUCCAACGUCAAGAGCAACACUCAAAGAAAAAGCAGAGCGUUCCACGAUAUCGAACCCGGGGUUACGUGCCGACUCGGCGAUCUCCCGCUUACGCAGUACUGUUGGCACUCUAUCACAACGCCGCGAAACCUGAGUCCCGGGGCUAUCUGACCAAACCAGAACUGCAGAAAACUGCUCAGCCUCUCUGCGAUAAAUCCUUUUUUCUGGCUGAUCCUGGAAGUAAGAACACCGCCUGGUCUGCUGUCAGCACUCUGAUUCGCAAGGAACUAGUCCUCAAGACUAAUAUUCCAGCCAGAUAUUCUCUGACCGAAGCAGGCCUGAAUGUAGCUCGGGAGCUGCAGGCCUCCGGGAAGCAGAACAAUUCCCGCACCCCAAAAGCCACAGCACCCCAAACUGGAGGAACCGUUGCGCUUUUGGAGGAAAACGAUGGAAGCUCCUUGGGCUCAGAAAAUGCAGACAGCAGCCCCACCAGCAAAUACAGCUGCGAAGGGCCUAACUCGGGGCUGUCAACACCCCAGUUCGUUCUGCAACCUGGACAGUUUGAGGUGAUCCUGUGCGUGGAUUUCAUCGAGACCAUAGGCGGCCCCGCAUCCCGUAAACAGGAGCUGGUGCGCGAACUUCAACGUCACAACGUCCCGUUUAGCAUCCGGAAACUCCACGUCGGUGAUUUCCUCUGGGUGGCCAGAGAGAGGGGUCCCCAUGGGGCAGAACUGUUGCCACCAACCACGGUUCGUGAGUUGGUUUUAGACUACGUGGUGGAACGGAAACGGAUGCCGGAUUUAUGUGGUAGCAUCAUUGACGGUCGCUUCCGGGAACAAAAGUUCCGCCUGCGACAGUGUGGUCUUUCCCACCCCAUCUACCUGGUAGAAGACGUGAAUUCCGCGCAACAUCUCAGUCUUCCUGAAAAGACUCUCCAACAAGCCAUUAUCAAUACUCAGGUGAUCGAUGGCUUCUUUGUCAAACGUACCAGUGACAUUCGGGAAUCUGCUGCAUACCUGACCAUCAUGACCCGUCAUUUGACCAGACAGUAUGGGGACAAAAUGCUUUUGAGCUGUACCAAGCAAGAAUUGGAGGAUGAGCGCCCUCUGCAGCCCAGGGAGGGUACCUGCAGGCUUCUGACAUUUGCUGAGUUUAACGAAGGAGCUAUAAAAAACAAGGCACAGACGGUGUACGAAGUCUUUGCAAGGCAACUGAUGCAGGUCAGCGGCCUCAGUGGAGAAAAGGCGGCUGCCAUUUUGGAGAAAUACAAAACGCCCGCUAGGUAUGAAGACGGGGGAAGGUGGUUAGUUUUGUUAACCUGGAUUUCGCAUAAUGUGGGAACGAAACUAAAAUCUGUGGUUUUCCCUACCCUUGCAGGGAACAGCGAAAACAGCUUAGCUGUUCACGGUGUAUUAUUAUUUUUUUGGGGUCAGAUUCCAUUCUUCACCUCUCCAGAAUUAAAAUUUGGCUGAUGGUAAAAAGUCAUUUUCUGAUGGUGACCUUAGCAACUUUAAGAUGGAUGGACCUCAACUCCCAGAAUUCCCCAGCCAGCGUGCUUUAAGAUGGGUGGACUUCAAAUCCCAGAAUUCCCCAGCCAGCAUGCUUUUAAGAUGGGUGGACUUCAAAUCCCAGAAUUCCCCAGCCAGCAUGCUUUUAAGAUGGGUGGACUUCCACUCCCAGAAUUCCCCAGCCAGCUUGAUUUAAGAUGGGUGGACUUCCACUCCCAGAAUUCCCCAGCCAGCUUGAUUUAAGAUGGGUGGACUUUAACUCCCAGAAUUCCCCAGCCAGCGUGCUUUAAGAUGGGUGGACUUCCACUCCCAGAAUUCCCCAGCCAGCAUGCUUUAAGAUGGGUGGACUUCAAUUCCCAGAAUCCCCCAGCCAGCAUGCUUUAAGAUGGGUGGACUUCAACUCCCAGAAUUCCCCAGUUAGCCUGCUUUAAGAUUAGGUAGACUUCAACUCCUAGAAUUCUUCAGCUGGCCAAUUCAAAAUGACUAAUCCCCACCCCUCAAUACAGUAUAACCCUGGCUAACUAACUAAAUACGUGUGGAUGUCAACAUUGUGUUAGUUUAACCAACUUUCCCCUUAGAAUUGUAGUUCCAUUGUACAUUUUUGUGUUCCGUUUUUUAAAAUUCAUUCUAGAGAAUGAAUAAUAGAAUAAUAGAACAUAAAUAGAAUAUGGUAUUAGCAAUAGCAUCCUGUGUUAUUGCUUUAUUUAUUCUGGGAGUUGGAGUCCACCCAAGUCUUAAAAGUUGCUAAGGUUGGAGACCCCUGCACCAGCGGAGUGGUGCGGUGGCCUCGAGGUGGAGCUCUCGCCUCACAAUCAGGAGGCUGCGAGUUCGAUCCUAGGUAGAAGCAGAUAUUUCUCUCUCUUGGGCUCAGUGAGAAUAUAUCUGCUGAACAAAACUCCGCAUUGGCAACCAGGAAGGGCAUCCGGCCAGUAAAACAUACCGCUAGCUCCAUUCAGUUGCCCAGACUCUACCCCCGCAAGGGAUUAUGGGGUCAUUAAAAGAUGAUGAUGUUGAAGAUCUUCUAGCUACCCAGGCUGAGAAACACUGUUUUAGAGGCUGGUUGCCGGCGGAGCAGACCAUGUUGUAACCUGGUUUAAAGCAGCAUUCUACAUGGUGAAGUGAAAGAUUCACAUGUAUGAUGAAACGUGGAUUUUUUUUCCCCUUGGCAUGUCGAUGUUGGUGGUGGGGGCUUGAUGACCUUCCCUGGUGUUCUUCUUCAUUCUCAGCCUGAUGGGGGCUUACGCCGCGUGUCCGGAUGCGGAAAGCCAGGAGCAUCUUCUGAGUAGCAUCAAGUGUGGCCAGCUGCAGAGAAAUCUGGGUCCUUCGCUUAGCAAGACCUUGGCUCAAUUGUACUGCACCCCUGGGCCGCUGCCUU